AGGGCUGGGGCUCAGUGAUAGCGCACUCACCUGGCAUGUGUGAGGCACUGGGUUCGAUUCUCAGCACCCCGU
Molecule: transfer RNA, 72 nt
Filed under: Ictidomys tridecemlineatus (thirteen-lined ground squirrel)
Lineage: Eukaryota; Metazoa; Chordata; Mammalia; Rodentia; Sciuridae
Description: Spermophilus tridecemlineatus (thirteen-lined ground squirrel) tRNA
Rfam family: tRNA
About the family: Transfer RNA (tRNA) molecules are approximately 80 nucleotides in length. Their secondary structure includes four short double-helical elements and three loops (D, anti-codon, and T loops).
Source: Rfam by way of RNAcentral